UAGCCUGAAAUGAUGAUUUACAUUCAUGUCUCUUCUCUGAGAUUUCUUCUGAAGAAAAUGUGUUUAACUGAUCAGGCUC
This 79-nucleotide small nucleolar RNA is filed under the name Notamacropus eugenii (tammar wallaby). RNAcentral's name for it is "Small nucleolar RNA SNORD111 (ENSMEUG00000017654.1)". It matches the Rfam family "Small nucleolar RNA SNORD111". From Rfam's summary of the family: The members of this family belong to the C/D class of snoRNAs which contain the C (UGAUGA) and D (CUGA) box motifs. Lineage: Eukaryota; Metazoa; Chordata; Mammalia; Diprotodontia; Macropodidae. The record is from RNAcentral.